Molecule: ribosomal RNA, 462 nt
Filed under: uncultured bacterium
Lineage: Bacteria
Description: partial 16S ribosomal RNA
Rfam family: Bacterial small subunit ribosomal RNA
Source: RNAcentral
GACGAACGCUGGCGGCGUGCUUAACACAUGCAAGUCGAACGGAAAGGCCCUUCGGGGUCCUCGAGUGGCGAACGGGUGAGUAACACGUGGGUGAUCUGCCCUGCACUUUGGGAUAAGCCUGGGAAACUGGGUCUAAUACCGAAUAGGACCACGCGCUUCAUGGUGUGUGGUGGAAAGCUUUUGCGGUGUGGGAUGGGCCCGCGGCCUAUCAGCUUGUUGGUGGGGUAAUGGCCUACCAAGGCGACGACGGGUAGCCGGCCUGAGAGGGUGACCGGCCACACUGGGACUGAGAUACGGCCCAGACUCCUACGGGAGGCAGCAGUGGGGAAUAUUGCACAAUGGGCGCAAGCCUGAUGCAGCGACGCCGCGUGAGGGAUGACGGCCUUCGGGCUGUAAACCUCUUUCAAUAGGGACGAAGCGCAAGUGACGGUACCUAUAGAAGAAGCACCGGCCAACUACGUG